RNAcentral lists this ribosomal RNA (513 nucleotides) under uncultured bacterium. Its description in RNAcentral is "bacterial SSU rRNA". It matches the Rfam family "Bacterial small subunit ribosomal RNA", at positions 8 to 518 of the family's 1533-position model. The record is from RNAcentral.
AGAGUUGAUCAUGGCUCAGGAUGAACGCUGGCGGCGUGCCUAAUACAUGCAAGUCGUACGGAGCGCUCAGCUUGCUGGAGAGCUCAGUGGCGAACGGGUGAGUAAUACGUAAGUAACCUGCCUGCAAGGACUGGGAUAACACCUGGAAACGGGCGCUAAUACCGGAUAGGUAACAGAGGGGCAUCCCACUGUUAUUAAAGGUUAAAAACACAAGCAGAUGGGCUUACGGUGCAUUAGCUGGUUGGUGAGGUAACGGCCCACCAAGGCGAUGAUGCAUAGCCGGCCUGAGAGGGUGAACGGCCACAUUGGGACUGAGACACGGCCCAGACUCCUACGGGAGGCAGCAGUAGGGAAUUUUCGGCAAUGGGCGCAAGCCUGACCGAGCAACGCCGCGUGAGUGAAGAAGAAUUUCGGUUCGUAAAGCUCUGUUGUAAGGGAAGAAUAACACGGAGAGAAUCCGUGCAUGACGGUACCUUACCAGAAAGCCACGGCUAACUACGUGCCAGCCGCAGC